RNAcentral lists this ribosomal RNA (240 nucleotides) under uncultured bacterium. RNAcentral's name for it is "partial 16S ribosomal RNA". It matches the Rfam family "Bacterial small subunit ribosomal RNA", at positions 537 to 776 of the family's 1533-position model. The record is from RNAcentral.
AGCGUUGUCCGGAAUUAUUGGGCGUAAAGCGCGCGCAGGCGGUCCUUUAAGUCUGAUGUGAAAGCCCACGGCUCAACCGUGGAGGGUCAUUGGAAACUGGGGGACUUGAGUGCAGGAGAGAAGAGUGGAAUUCCACGUGUAGCGGUGAAAUGCGUAGAGAUGUGGAGGAACACCAGUGGCGAAGGCGACUCUGUGGCCUGUAACUGACGCUGAGGCGCGAAAGCGUGGGGAGCAAACAGG